Molecule: ribosomal RNA, 292 nt
Filed under: uncultured bacterium
Lineage: Bacteria
Description: partial 16S ribosomal RNA
Rfam family: Bacterial small subunit ribosomal RNA
Source: RNAcentral
GUGCCAGCAGCCGCGGUAAGACAGAGGGUGCAAACGUUGUUCGGAAUUACUGGGCGUAAAGCGCGUGUAGGCGGCAGGGUGUGUCGGAUGUGAAAUCCCGUGGCUCAACCACGGAAGUGCACCCGAAACUACCCAGCUCGAGUCUCGGAGAGGAAGGUGGAAUGCUUGGUGUAGAGGUGAAAUUCGUAGAUAUCAAGCGGAACACCGGUGGCGAAGGCGGCCUUCUGGACGAUGACUGACGCUGAGACGCGAAAGCGUGGGGAGCAAACAGGAUUAGAUACCCUUGUAGUCC